This 198-nucleotide small nucleolar RNA is filed under the name Jaculus jaculus (lesser Egyptian jerboa). RNAcentral's name for it is "Small nucleolar RNA U3 (ENSJJAG00000004887.1)". It matches the Rfam family "Small nucleolar RNA U3". From Rfam's summary of the family: Small nucleolar RNAs (snoRNAs) are involved in the processing and modification of rRNA in the nucleolus. Lineage: Eukaryota; Metazoa; Chordata; Mammalia; Rodentia; Dipodidae. The record is from Rfam by way of RNAcentral.
AAGACUUGACUUUUAGGGAUCAUUUUUAUAGUUCAUUUCUAGAGAAGUUUCUCUGAUUUGGUCAAGUACUGGAAACCACAAGGAGAAGGCAUAUUGUUCUCUCUUGGUGUUGCUUUUCUGAAACUUUUAUUUGCCAUUUAUGAUCAUUCUUCCUCUUCCUUGGGGAGAGUUAGAGGGAGAACACGCAGUCGGAAGGGA